Molecule: long non-coding RNA, 2289 nt
Filed under: Sus scrofa (pig)
Lineage: Eukaryota; Metazoa; Chordata; Mammalia; Artiodactyla; Suidae
Description: lncRNA (ENSSSCG00030070679.1)
Source: RNAcentral
AGGUUAUUAUAGAAUAUGGAGUAGAUUUCCCUGUGCUCUACCCUAGGUCUUUGUUAGUUACUUAUUUUAUGUACAGUAGUGUGUAUAUACUAUUCCUGUCUUCCUAAUUUAUCCCUCCCUCCCAUGUUUGAUUUCAAAAUCUAUGAGUUUUUUCUGUUUUAUAAAGAAGUUCUUUUGUAUCAUUUUUAUUAGAUUCCACAUAUAAUAGAUAGCAUAAUAUUUGUCUUUCUCUGUCUGACUUACUUCGCAUAGUAUGAUCAUCUCUAGGUCCAUCCAUGUUGCUACAAAUGGCAUUAUUUUAUUCUUUUUUAUGGCUGUGUAGUAUUCCUGAAGAUUUCCAUUCUUAAAAGAGCCAGUCUGCUUGAAAUAAAUAUUAAUACUACUGCUACAUCACAAUGAUUUAAGGUGUCAAUGAUCUUAGCAAGUCUCUAUUUGUAAUAAUGUAAUGAGUUUUUUUCCUUUUGUGAUAUUCCCAGACCCUCACCCUAACACCAUGCUCUCUAGAAAUCCAUAUUUUAUUUAGGGCCAUAGGUACAGCAUAUGGAAGUUUCCAGGUUGGAUCCAAGUUGCAGCUGCCAGCCUAUGCCACAGCCACAGCAAGGCCAGAUCUAAGCCACUACAGCUCACAGCAAACCUGGAUCCUUAACCCAUUGAGCAAGGGCAGGGAUUGAACCUGCAUCCUCAUGGAUACUAGUCAGGUUCGUUUCCACUGAGCCAUGAUGGGAACUCCCCUGAAAUCCAUAAUUUAGAGUUGGUUUAACAAAUUUCAUUUAAAUGACCAGUUGAAGCCAUUAUAAGUAUGAAAAUACCAUUUGAAACUCAAUUAUAAUAGGUCAGCCCAAAGUGUUUUAUUUAUAUACAACUUGAAGAAGUUAUUCCUGCCCAGUAACCUUCCCCUAUUCUCCAUCCAGUGAAUAAUACUGAUUUACUUAUCCAAAAUUUGCUCAAUAGAAGUAUGAAUUAAUCAACAAUAUUUUGUAAUGGAAAAAGAGCUAAACUCUUUAGGGGCAUUAAAUUUCAUUUCAAAGCUAGCUUGAAUUAAAUGUUAAAUAAUAUCGGAAAAAAAACCUGCCAGAAAAUUACUGAUUCCUAAUUUAUAAUGAAAAUGGAAAUUUCCAUCAUCAUCCCCUUUUUCCUUCAUUGAAGAAGCAUUCCAUGCACACUUAUUAAAUUUGUGUCUUAAAAAUAUUUUCAACCUUAAUCGCAGAGACAAAAAUGUUUGCCAUUUUCCCCACAGCAGUGUGUACUUGAAGUUAUGAAUUUAUAUGAAUCUCCUCUAUCUCUUAAAAUUGGUUUUGUGAAAUUAAAUCAUAGCAAUACUUUUAUAUUCAGUUAAAUUUUAGAAAGGGGACCAUAUUAAACCAUAUUAUUUAAAUUAUUUAGUGAGUCACUGCUAAACCUCUCUAGUCACAAAACGGUAACCUCAUCUAUAAAGGCAUAUUUCCCUGGUUUUCAACAUGCACCCCUCUACUUGAUAUCCGUAAUCCUAAAAAGCGAAUAAUGCCAUCACUUGAAUCAGAUUUCUUCCCCGGUUUAAUUGUUAUAUGUUAGGAAGUCAAGAAUCCAUUUCAGUUACUUGAUCUUAUUCUACAAACUCUCAGACCGGGCCUUAAUGUACACUAUACACAUCUUCCAGGCACCAUUACAUCAAGCAAACGUCAGUUGUCACUUGAUGGGGCCAUUAACUAGACAAGUCCAAAAUAAAACUCAGAACAGAGAGGACAUGUCAUGCAUUCUAUAAAUUGUAUGUUCUGAGACCCUAUUAAGGCUGACAGGGAAGGGAGCCUGCAAUUGGCGAGCACCUGAUUACACCUUGUACUUUAUUCCCUGUUGACUUUGGUUAUGCCAUACCUUUCCAUUUCCUAGAGAAAUAAAUUAAAAGUCAGAAGUAAUUUGCCUGACGAAGGGUGCAGGUGGGAUUUUGCUCAGAAGAGCCUUUGCAUACUGUGAAAUCCAAUUUAACCCCUUGAUGGGGGAUAGCUUAUUUUCUUUUGUUGACAGCCUUGCUACAGCUAAAAUAGGGAUCUGAUUAAAUAGAGACAGUGAGAGAUUGAGGUCUUCUUCUAACAGCAGGGGGAUCAAGGCCUCUAAUCUUAUCUUCUAGAACAGGGAGAUGAACUGAGGACAGAGGCAGAAAGAUAAGUCCAGCUAUUUUUGUGCAGUGAGAGAGGAAAGUACUAAGAGGACAUAGCACAAGGAAAUAUGAACAAUUGUUUCCAAAACGUAGAUUGAAAAUAAGAAAAUCUAAACUAUAGACUGAAAGACCAAAAAAAAAAAAAAAAAAAAAAA